RNAcentral lists this ribosomal RNA (348 nucleotides) under Triticum aestivum (bread wheat). Its description in RNAcentral is "partial small subunit ribosomal RNA". Lineage: Eukaryota; Viridiplantae; Streptophyta; Magnoliopsida; Poales; Poaceae. The record is from RNAcentral.
AUGGUAUGGUCCGUCCGUGUCCCACUGAAGAUUCGCAUCUUCAUGUGGCAGUGGAUCCGUGGACAGGUCCCGUCCGGUGUGGAGGUCCGCAAGCGCAAUGGCUCGGGCACAGGUAUCUGCCCCCUCUGCGAUGUUCCCGAAGACUCCAAUCACAUUUUCUUCGCAUGCGUCUCCGCCCGAUUCCUUUGGAGCUGCUUUCACGAGAUUGUUGGUGGGAGUUGGUGCCACACCAAUUUCCCGGACCUUUUUGCUGAACUCCAAGUGUCCCUACGUCCUCUCGCCACAUUAGGUGGCUGGAGGUUGGGGUCCUUGCGUGGACGCUGUGGACAGUUUGCAAUAAGCUUGUGA